GUUUAGCUAACAGUCUGGGAGGAUGCUGAUUAGGACAUGGCUAGCAACAUGUGCGUACAUGGCACAUCUGUCAGGGAGAGUCAAUAACAACAAAAAGCUCCAGACACGGCAGAAAGGACGCUGAGAGACGUGGAGGAUUUUACGCCAGCGUCAUCCUUUUUCUUCCUCUGUGGUCCAGCUGAUCCAGGGGCCUGGAGUGAUGAAGGGUCCUGAAACUUUUCAGCCCCUGGCACCUCUUUGUGGACGUGCUGAUUGGAGAGCGUGCAGCAAGGCGUCCACCAAUCCCUCGCAUUCCCUCAGCCUGCGUCGAGCCUCUGCUCCAUCCGAGCUCACAUUUCUGCAAGAACAAUGUCAGACAAAGACACAGAGACACUUGUUAGUAUCAACCAAAUUUAACUGCACUGUUGACAGCACAUAAAGUUGCUCUGAGCUUGAUGUAAAACCAGAUGAAAUAGGAUUCAUAAAACAUCUCUACUGCUGUAAUGUCUGCAACCAUUCGGAAGAAGGUGAUUCCACAUUUAGGGACACUGUGGGGGUGAAUAGUUAGAUAUUGAACAUUUUCAAGUAUUACAUCUAACUAAGGGCCCUAUAGUAUUGUAAAGCCUUUAAUCAUACUUUUAUAAGUGGAUACAUAUGGGUAAUAUUCAAGCCAUGUGAUCUUCAACACUUCUAUCGAAUAAAACCCAACUAAUGAUGCCUCACACUUCCUACCUGCUGUGUGUCUCUGCUCUGCCUUCUGUCACAGCCUCUAUACUGCUAAAUGUUCUCACUCACAAUUCGACAAAUACUGACGUUUUCUUACAUCUCUUUGGCACGUCAAGACGAUGCACAUGUUAAGUUUAU
Molecule: long non-coding RNA, 843 nt
Organism: Notolabrus celidotus (New Zealand spotty)
Lineage: Eukaryota; Metazoa; Chordata; Actinopteri; Labriformes; Labridae
Exons: 3
Source: RefSeq, a predicted model, not a curated record